RNAcentral lists this long non-coding RNA (656 nucleotides) under Manihot esculenta (cassava). RNAcentral describes it as "long non-coding RNA (MESC_LNC012558)". The record is from RNAcentral. Lineage: Eukaryota; Viridiplantae; Streptophyta; Magnoliopsida; Malpighiales; Euphorbiaceae.
UGUUUAUAUAUGUUUGGUCCCUCAUUGGAGUCCACCUGUGUAGGUUCGGACCCGAGGAACCGAGGACCCCAGCAGUGAGUGAGCUGCUUCAGUGUCUGGUCAGAGCUAGCCAGAGGUGAGUGGAAACAAGCUUAAUGUUUUAAAUCAAGCAAUUAAAUGUGUUGAGCAUGUUUCAUGCAUCAUGAUGACAUGUAAUAGGCUGAUUGCAUUAGUUCACGAAUAUGUCGCAUUGCAUUUUAAUUUGUGGUUGUGGGUGAAUGCUGUAUGAUCCAAUUAGUCCACGAGACUUAAUAUAUGAUAUAACAGGAAGACCAGGACCCCAUGCUACGGCCUGGCACGAGACUUUAUGUAUGUAUGACAGGAAGACCAGGACCCCAUGCUACGGCCUGGCACGAGGCUUUAUAUAUGUUAUGACAGGAAGACCAGGACCCCAUGCUACGGCCUGGCACGAGACUAUGUUGGGACUAAUUGGUGACAGGUUCACCCUUGAUGUGAAUUGUUUGUGAUAUGAUGCAUUCCAUGAAAGCAUGAAUUUUAAUAUAAUGUUUUUAGUUUCUGCUCACUGGGCUUUUAGCUCACCCCUCUCCCCUAACCCCAGGUUUGCAGGUACGGGAUUGAUAGAGAAGAAAAGAAGAGAAAAGUCAUAUGUACGUAAU